AAUGAACGCUGGCGGUAUGCCUAACACAUGCAAGUCGAACGACAGCACAGUAAGAGCUUGCUCUUACGGGUGGCGCGUGGCGGACGGGUGAGGUAUACAUCGGAUUCUACUUUUUCGUGGGGGAUAACGUCGGGAAACUUCCUCUAAUCCCGCAUACGACCUACGGGUGAAAGCAGGCGUUCGUCUGGCCUUGCGCGAUUGUAUGAGCCGAUGUCGGAGUAGCUAGUUGGCUGGGUAAAGGCAUACCACAGCCACGAUCCGUAUCUGCUCUGACAGGAUGAAUCGCUAGAUUGGCAGUGAGAAACGGCAGAGACUCUUAGAGGAGGCAGCAGCGGGGAAUCUUGCACAAUGGGCGCAAGCCUGAUACAGCAAUACCGCGUGGAUGAAGAAGGCCCUCGGGUGGUAAAGCCCUGAUGUCGGGAAAGAAAAGAAGCACGUUAAUCCGCCGUUGUUCUGACGGUACCCAAAGAAUAAGCACCGGCUAACUCCGUG
This 492-nucleotide ribosomal RNA is filed under the name uncultured bacterium. Its description in RNAcentral is "partial 16S ribosomal RNA". It matches the Rfam family "Bacterial small subunit ribosomal RNA", at positions 29 to 507 of the family's 1533-position model. The record is from RNAcentral.